RNAcentral lists this transfer RNA (87 nucleotides) under marine eukaryotic metagenome. RNAcentral describes it as "Selenocysteine transfer RNA". It matches the Rfam family "Selenocysteine transfer RNA". The record is from RNAcentral.
GUGAAGCGUGGCUGGUGUCCGCCGCGGUCUUCAAAACCGUUGUUGGCCGGUUCCGCCGGCCAAGGUGGGUUCGAUUCCUACCCUCUC